Molecule: RNA transcript, 2138 nt
Organism: Portunus trituberculatus (swimming crab)
Lineage: Eukaryota; Metazoa; Arthropoda; Malacostraca; Decapoda; Portunidae
Exons: 7
Source: RefSeq, a predicted model, not a curated record
GGCCGCUCGAGUUGAGCGAUUCGAAGGCGAGGCUCACCUUUGAACACGACGAGGGAAAGCAGCAGGAGCAGAACACCAGGGACGCUGCAGAGUGUCAUGGUAGUAAGUUUGGCUAGGCGUCGUGAUAUAUUCUGUGCCAGCCUAAAGAAAUAGAGAAGAAGUUACAAGUCGUAGUGAGGUGACAGCUUGGGUGAGAAGGAGCGACGCGUCACCAAAUCCUUCUCGAGCACCAGUGAAGCAGUUUGUGGAGGUGCCAGGUGGCAGGUGGGUCAGUGAUGGCGGUGGUGGUGGCGGUGGUGUGUAGGUGUGGUAUUGAUCGAAAUAUCAACAUACAUCUCCUUCGUUACGUGUUCAAUUAUCCGCAAAAAACUGUGGCUAGCUAGGGAAGGCUUUCCACUUAACAAAGGUGCCACAUAGACAGCAAGUUGUUGCGGAGGAGAGGAGCAAGUGAACUCAAAAUGAAAAGUGUUUUCCAGAGGAAGUAUGCACGCGGAGGACUUCGCUCGCCACCUCACCACCCUACAUUAUCACCCGCCUCGACCCAGCGACCCCUGCAUUAUUCAUCACGAGCAAGGUGUGGUGACUCCAUCCAAGCACUUAAGGAAGGCUGCGUCUUAGGCUGCGCAGCACAGCACCACGCCGCAGUACAGCGCCACGCCGCAGUACAGCGCCACGCCGCAAUACAGCGCCCCGCCGCAGCACAGCGCCCCGCCGCAGCACAGCGCCCCGCCGCAGCACAGCGCCACGCCGCAGCACAGCACAGCGCCACGCCGCAGCACAGCGCCACGCCGCAGCACAGCGCCACGCCGCAGCACAGCGCCACGCCGCAGCACACAUGCCGGGAGGGAGCUUCAUGACUGCCAAACGCGUAUACAGAGAUUUUCCUUCCAGCCUUGUCUCAUUCCUCGGUGUGGUGAAGACUCCGCGGAGGCGCCACUCCGCGGCACACGUAUGCAUGAUGGAUCUCCCCCGCCCUAGGGAGGCGCCGCCACUCGUGAGGCGCGCUGACGGUUUUCUGCCACCACCUGCGGCACAUAACUCUUCGUCUAUCCCGUCACCAUCUCACAUUUUUGGUCCGCGCGGGAGUUAUGCAGCGAGGAAAGUGAAAACGUGCUUGUGGUCCGCGCCACUCCGCCCAUGUCUGCUGCCACGGCACCACCCAAGCCCAAGUGGUGAAGGAAGGAAGGAAGUCAAGAAGGCAGGAAGGAAGGAAAGACUGAUGAAGUUAUCUCGUGUUACUUGACCGCCACGUGCUCCUCCUUCACCUCUCCCUCUCUCCCUCCCUUCGUCCGUGUGUUCAGCCUAGUACAGUGUCCAGGAGAGAAGCCAGCAGCACUGGUGGGGGGUGGCAGGUGCUGGCAAGUCGUCAAAUUUUCACACAUUUUCAUUGGAAGUCUGUCAGCUGCAUUUCUUCUUCCAUGACUGGGUACAAUACAUUGUAUCACCCAGAACUCUCUUCACAAAAUGCCUGGUGGUGAUGUGGGAAGCAGGAAGAAAGAGGAGAUGAGUUUGAAGACACAUGACCAAUCAAGGAAAGGUGCAAGCAUGAACACCAAGGAAUUAACAAGAACCAAGCAGUCAAGGACAUCCAACCCAGAGAAUGAGCAGUGCCAUGACAAAAGCAGCUGCCAGAGGAGUGUCACCACCACCAUCAUCUUAUGUGGCCACAGUUGAAAGAGUAGGAAGUCUCCAAAAGCAGUGGUGACAGCAUGAUGCCUUCACCACCACCAGUGAGUCAUAUGAUCAACAACUUCCCAAGUAACUGGGCACCAAGACUGCCCAGGAUAUCCAAAUUGAAGAGGGUGAGAGUGGUUCCUAAAAAACUUCUCAAAAUAGGCCUAAAAUUGUGCUUAAUCAGUGCAAAAAUGUACCAAAAGUAAGGCCCUGAAAGGCUUAAAAAGUGGUUCCUAAAAAACUUCUCAAAAUAGGCUGAAAAAUGUGCUUAAUCAGUGCAAAAAUGUACCAAAAGUAGGCCCUGAAAGGCUUAAAAAAAGUGUAAAAAUGUGCUUAAUCAGUGCAAAAAUGUACUAAAAGUAGGGCCCUGAAAGGCUUCAAAAAGUGUGCUAAGUCAUAAAUACUCCGAAGAGUCUGCGGAGAUUUUGUAAAGGAGAAAUAUUAAAUAAAAAUAAAUAUGCUUU